GGCCGCGGCGGCGGCGGGGGCGCGCACUCCUGCGUGGUCUCGUACUCGUCGUCCUCGGGGAUGCGGAAGGGGCUGGCAGGCAGGCUGCCCAGGCUGCCGCCGAGCGCGCAGGUCCCGCGCCGCGGUCCGGGCCCCGCCGCGGGUAGGCCACCACACAGACGAUGCCCACGACCAGCAGAGCCACGCAGAUGCCCGUGAUGGUCAGGACCCUCUUCUGGUACAGCUCCUCGGCUUCUGCAGAGUGGCCUGGUAGCUGCAAAGAACCUUGGUGGGCCAAGAGGAGUUGUUCUUCCUGGCAGUGAUCAUGGGAAUGCCUUUGUUUACCCCUGCAGCCUGGUCAGGGAGUGGCCCUGGCCCCCUCCAGGCCUGCUAUCUCUGCUUGUGAGAAGCCCGCCAGUGGCACCAUGGACCCCUGGCAUCUAGGAAAGUGCUGGUGUGCAAGGAACAGCCCCCACCGUUGCUGAGGAGC
Long non-coding RNA from Homo sapiens (human), 469 nucleotides. Lineage: Eukaryota; Metazoa; Chordata; Mammalia; Primates; Hominidae. The record is from Ensembl.